GAUGAACGCUGGCGGCGUGCCUAAUACAUGCAAGUCGAGCGAACAGACGAGAGUGCUUGCACUCUCUGACGUUAGCGGCGGACGGGUGAGUAACACGUGGGUAACCUACCUAUAAGACUGUGAUAACUUCGGGAAACCGGAUCUAAUACCGGAUAAUAUUUAGCUUCGCAUGAAGCAAUAGUGAAAGACGGUUCUGCUGUCACUUAUAGAUGGACCCGCGGUGUAUUAGCUAGUUGGUGAGGUAACGGCUCACCAAGGCAACGAUACAUAGCCGACCUGAGAGGGUGAUCGGCCACACUGGGACUGAGACACGGCCCAGACUCCUACGGGAGGCAGCAGUAGGGAAUCUUCCGCAAUGGACGAAAGUCUGACGGAGCAAUGCCGCGUGAGUGAAGAAGGUUUUCGGAUCGUAAAACUCUGUUGUAAGGGAAGAACAAGUACGUUAGUAACUGAACGUACCUUGACGGUACCUUAACAGAAAGCCACGGCUAACUACGUG
Molecule: ribosomal RNA, 499 nt
Filed under: uncultured bacterium
Lineage: Bacteria
Description: partial 16S ribosomal RNA
Rfam family: Bacterial small subunit ribosomal RNA
Source: RNAcentral